CUCCCCUCCGCCCGAAAAACCAAAACUGCUCAAUCAAAUGCGGCCACAAUGCGAGACGCUGCCAAGAUGCAGAAACGUCAGCUAUUCAUUUGUGAGUCUCUAAAAGAUGACGAGCACGAUGUCUCGAUGUUUUUCGCUCUAGCUGGUGGAUUCUCCUCCGAUGUGAUGCUUCACAGGUACAGCGUUCUUGGGGCGGCACCUCGCAUGUAUGUUUUGUGUGUCGCCGUUUUACAGCAAACGCGGUCACCCCUUGAUUUGUUCACUGCCAUGGAAACCAUGUGCAUGAAAAUGAAACUAUUGCGGUCAGUCUGGAGUUUGUUGGGCCUACGGAUCCCUUUUUUAAUUAGUCUGUGUGCAUGUCUGAGCUCCUCUGUUUGCCUGCUUUCAUCAGUGCAUCACGUAUGUCUGCAUGUAAAAAAAGUGCAUGCUUGAAAGGGGCGCUUUCUGAUUAAAAAAAAAGGUCACCACUUAAUCUUUUAUACAGUGUCACAUUUGAAUGCGAGGGAUUCACGUGCAAAAGACUCGCGCCAUCUGGCGCAGUAGGACCAGACUCCUGAUCUCACUAUCAACAACAACCGCGGAGAAAAACCGCCAGCGCCAAAACACGCUUUAAAACAUCAGUUGCCGCUGCGUCGCGUUCAUCGGAGCAAUUAUCUGCACACGCCGACGACAUGGUGGUUGGAGGUUAUGCAAAUGCAAUUAGGCUGGAUUUGCAUUUGACAACGGCUAACGGAUGCACAGAUGGCGAACAACAGAGAUGCGCCCUCCAUCUUUGGCACAGGAGAAGACCGGCGGCCAUUUUGUCUGAAUCUGUGCCCGUCUGGAAACGACCACGCUGCAUCGCUGUGACAACGGCAGCAGUUUGGGAGCUUUGUGGUGCACGGCUGCUGCUCGCUGGCUUUCAAGGCCAAGCAAAUACGGUCUAAUCAGACACAAACAGAUCUGUCAAUUGGGGGAAACAUGUAAAUAGUGAAUAGAUCUCUUGUAUGAUUUAAAAUGUUCGGAUUGGAGGAACUUUCAAAAGGAAUCUAAAGGAAGCUAACCUGUUAGCUUCUAAACAUUUUUCAGUGACAAGAGACUUUACUGCUGUAAUUAAUAUCAUAAAAUGAAACUCUUUGAACCAAACAUAUUGGACAUAAGUCACGCACACACAGACACACACACACACACACACACACACACACACAGACAGAAACACACACUUUUAGGUGAAUGAAUGAGGUAAUGAGAGCACAUUGAGAGUUGUUCAGAAUGGAAAAUGUCGAGUGCUGAAGAGUGAUACUUGCCAUUUUACUAUCUCCACUACAAGAUGAGAAGGUCUCUCUGUGAUCUUCUGCUCUCCUUGAUAUUCAGUUAAAAGAUAUAUAUAUAUAUAUAUAUAUAUUCUGGGAUUGAAUACCAGACAUCACGGUGAGAAAAGGCGUCGCUGUUUCUGGUCUUAACUGGCACAUGUUUACCAACCGCAAGCAAAGGGUGGAAGAGAAAAUAAAGACGGUGCUGUCUCUUUGUCAAAUGUAAAAACUGGUUGGGGAAUAAACAACGGAUGUGUUGAGGGCGGAGAGAGAUUCAAAAGCAGGACUCCCAAACGCUUUUCUUCAAACAGCCAGAGGCAGAAAGCGGUGGAUAUGUCAAUCUUGUGAAGGGGGGGGGGAAGAAAGAGAACGGAAUAUCCCUGUCGGCGGUCUUUCAGCAUUCGGGGUAUCACAUGGGGAGCGAUCCCCUUCAGCUGAACCACACACAGCCAGUGGAGAUGGGGAGUGAGGUCCAGUCUUAGGAGCCGGUCUCAGCCUGCAGCUGAGAGGGCCACGCAGGGCCUGUCCUUUGGAGGUCUGUGGGCCCCUAAGGCCACAGACUAACAUGGGGAAGACCACUCAGAGCUGUGCAGGAUCUGUGUUUCAUAUUGAUUUCUCCUACAUGCCGGUAGCUCCAGAGGUGCUUCUAGCCAUCAGGGACCUUCUCCAUCCUUUUCCAGCCUACUCACUAGCUCUCUGCCUGGGCUUCGCCGGCUCUGCUGGACCCCUGGUUGGAGGUAUCGGCCACAGGAGGAGAGGAGGAAGACGAGAGCCCAUGGCAAUGAUGAUGAGCAGCGCUGGGUCUCUGAGUUCAGUCAUCUACCAGCCUUUAUCCAGCCUUCCAACCACCCACCCUUGUUUCUUUCUGAAAAAGGGAAAAGAGCGUGUUUUUCAAAAUCUCACCUUUGGCAUGCAGCGUCCCUCUGCUCAAUGCAAAUGCAAAUGUAAACACUAACACUUUGAUUACAAAUAUGUGGGAAGAAAACGGCAACUUUUGUAACCUGCCCCAAGGCCCACGCAGCUAUACAGAAACAAAAAGAAAUGCUCAGCGUACUGUAUGAAACACACACACAUCCAUCUCUGCAGCUGGUUUUAAAAUGUAUUAUUGUCCCAAAAAUUAAAAUCACUCACAAUGAAAUUGUUACACUUAACCUUCAUUGUUUGAUAUUACUAUUGACAUUUACUACAUGGCGUCGUUUUUUACGCACGUCUCGCGACUGGCAAAACUGAAACAAUGAGCAUGAUAACAGCUUUGAUGACAAAUAGCCUGCACGGAUUCCUUCACUGCAUCUUGAAAAUUUCUGAAAGCAUUCUGAAUCCUGUUAUCAUGCUAAUGCAACAUUGUCCUUUACGUCUCGCUUUGUUCUUUUCUAUGAGAAAAAGCGAAUUGCAGGGGCCUCCUUCAGUAACCGCGCACCCACCGGCCCCCGUUUCUAUGAGAAAACACUCGCUCAGUGCGGUUUGCUGGAAAAUUAAUAGGACACAGAAAGUAGGGAGUGAAAGCUGCCGGGGUCAGUUAUGGGACGGUUCGUUUGUGGUUUUGAGUUUCGCCGUUAUGUGCAUGUUUUCAUGUUAUAAUGGGGGUGCACCCCGGAGCAGCCCCUGGCUUGGCCUGUGCAGGGGAGUGACGUGGGGUGAGAUUGGGUGAGCCGGAGGAAGAUUCAGACACAAUGCCCCCAUUGAGAGGGUUCAGACAUGGGUGUUAACUCCCCAUUCCUUCACACACAAUAGGGCCCCCCACUAGAGCCAGCGUAGGGAACAAUGUUGGUUCAGGGCUGCCUUCCAUCCAGCACCAAAGAAAAGAACUGCAUUAUCAAGAUGGGAGGAGAUGGAAGGAUGGAUGGGGGGCGGGAGGGGAGAUGGAGGAGCAUGUUUGUGUAUGAGGGCUGGAGCAGAAAGGAGCCCUGGAUGUGACCCAUGGCUUUGGACUUGAGGAAGAAAAAAAAAACACAGACAAACACAAAUCACUUGGCAUUUAGCUUGAACUGGAAAAAUGUACAGUUAUGUGUCGAUUCAUUAAAUAAAUAAAAAUACAGAUGGUUUGCUAAGAUAUCAGUAAUUUGAAUCAGCAUUAAGGCGUCAUUACAAUUAAAGACCACGUUGGAGCCAAUUCUUAAUACAUACUUGAAUGAAUGAAUUAAUGUGCGGAGCUUUGAGAACACGCCGGUCUCAUGCCGUGCUCAUCAUUUGAUUGAGUGUUUUGCGACUGUAUUUUUUUUGGUAGGAAAGUUCUACAUGCUUGGGCUCUAUAGCAUAAGUGAGCAUUUUGCAUGUUGGCCUGAAUACAAUAAGAAAGGAUGAAUAGCGGAACACAGUUUUUGAAAUAGUGAACAACGUUCCCUUUUAAAGACGGAGAACUAUCAAAAUACCCGUCUGCUUAUUUACAUUUCAAAGGCUUCGCUGAGUUACAGACUCGCUUGUGGAUUUAUACACUCUAAAUGAAAUGAUAGAUUCAGGAGUUUAGCUGCAGGAAUUAAUGCCAUUGUGUUUUUAGCGGCAAAGCAGGAAUCCCAUCCUCCAAACACUUCGGCAUUCAUCUUAAGCGUUCCUCCAAACACCUUAUAACAAGCAUUUGCCUGCUUGCAUUUGCUUGUUAUGUACUCAGCGGUUGAAAGGGAGAAAUUGUUUUUCGCGAGUCGGUUUGGGAGGGAAGUCAACAGCGUUAACAAGCCCUCGGUAGUGUAAGCGUGUAAGCUUUUAUUGUGCCAUUCUUCUCCAGACAGGUGAAAUCUCCUCCGGCUAAACAAAGGGGAGUGCUGCCUAACAUGUAUAAAGGAAGCUAUCAGUUUAUCUGUGGCGAGGGGGGCAGCUGGAAAAUGUUUAUGGAGAUCCCGAGUCUCUCUGGGAGCCUAAUAGAAUCCUGUGGCUGGAGUGAGAGCUCAUUGUGCCGCUGUAAAGGAUUACACUGGUAAACUGGUAAAACAGGGGAAAGAGCCCAAACACCCGUCUACCUCCUACGGAGAAGCAACGAACCAUUGAACAGGGACAGGGGAGAGCAUUCUGCAAGCCGACUCAACGGCGGGGGAAAAAAAGGACGGACCUGGAGAAAGUGGAGGAGCAGCGAGAGGAGGAAGAUAGAAAGAACUAGAUCAGGUGGUUCAUAUUCAUGCAUGUGCACGGGUGGAAUAAAAAAAAAAAAAUCACCUGGAAGUGUGAUCAAAGAUGGAAAGAGAAGGAGGACAGAAGGGGCUGCGUGGACGACAGUUCCUGCAGCGGAAGGUAAUAUGGGGAAAUGAUGUCUGUCUCGCUUGUCUGUCUGCAUCCUGAGUGACAGUUUACAAUAUCAGCAGGUCGGCUUUUUGGCUCCACACAGAUCCUCAUCUUUCUCUCUCUUCGUCUCUCCAUCACACCUCUGGUUCUCGUCUGUUUCCAACCAUCACCAAUCUCCACCAUCACCACCAUCUCUGCAUUUUGCCUUGUUUUAAAAUAGGAAUUUCUGUUCACUGCUCACAGUCGGUCCCCAAUUAAUUUAUCAAUCAUCUUUAUUGUCCUUGUGCUGAAUCAAAGACGUGGAAUUUUCAAGAAUUGAAAAAGAAAAAAAGUACUAGGUUGCCUAAACCUGGCCGAGCAUUGUAAUGAUCUCCGACGGGACGUCUGUUCUUUAGCAAGCUGUCUUGGCUUCCCCUUCAUCAGCAAAAUGUUAACUUUUAUCUCUUUUUUCUUCUUUCGUUCUAAACCAAUAUAUUCAUUUUGGCUAAUACUUAAACAUCCGUCAGGAACGAAUCCACAGAGCCUCAAUUGAGAAAGAAGAGCAGGAAGCCGUCCGUCUGAGGAGCCCCGAUGACCCCCGUGUAUAUUUCCCACAGUUUACACAGACGACACGCGAGAUUAGUCUAAUUCUCCUCUCUCCUGCUGUUCAGAUGAAACCACAUUGAGCAUAAUGCAUAUUCUGCAUUCUGAAACCUGCCAAACUGAAAGACUCCUCUCCACUCCACUCUCUCUUCAUCUCUAUUCCUUCAAAGGCUGCAGAGGGUGUAUUCAAACAGCAGGACACACACUCAGCUAACAAACCUCAUUAAGAGCCCAUACACACUUUCUCAAUGCUAACACUAGCUGUAAAACAUCCCCUCUCAAUGCACACACUGCCGGCCACACUGACUGUGACAAAGCAUCUUUACAGAGCUAAUUAGGGGGGUCCCCUCUCCAUUUGAAUCUCAUCUGAAUAGGAGGGAAGAUGAUGACGGGAGAAGUAGACAGAGAAGGGGGGACACGCAGGAGAAAAAAAGCAGAAAGGAGAGAGGAAUAUGCUUAAAGACGUAGUAGUCUCAGGGUGGAAUAGAAGCGGCGAGCUCGCGCGGCCAGGGGGACCUGAAUAAGUGUGACACAGCUCUGUGCGGGUCUGGUGCAGCGGGGAAUUGGGAGGGAACUGAGGAUUGGAUUGCUGUGGCGGUGUCUAGAGAGACAGAGGGAAGUAAUGGGUGUGACACCAGCUUCUCACGGGGACAGCGUUCCAAAAAGCUGGUGGAGAAACGCGGCUCUUAGAGAGACUGCAACAAGCAAAACACAAAAUGUGGAACGGUGAGAUGCAGAUGAACACCGAGCUUGCAGAAAAUAAACUGGUUUUGUCUUCUCUUUGCUUUUGCUUUUUAUGCCAAUUAUUUUUCCAAGCACUUGUUUUUUUUCUAAUUAAAGAGAUGGUGAUCAGUAUUGUGUUUCUAGAACAUCGCCGUUGUCUUUAGGACAGAAGGUCACACUGAGAGUUCAGCGCCAAAAACAUUCCUCCAUAGUUGCCAUAUCUUCCCUCAGCUUUCCUACAUUUCAUGUUCACAUGUUUCUUUUGUGUGUCCUUGAAGCAAGCUGUGUGUGUGUGUGUAUGUGAGAGUGUGUGUGUGUGUGUGCGCGCAGGCAAACAAUGGCAAGCUGACAGUUAAGGUCUUGGACCAAACACAAGGCCAAGUUUAUCGGCACACUGAAUGGACUCAUCAACAAUUGCAGAAAUAUCUCCAUAUAACAUUAUUUUUCACGGAAGAAAAAAAUAGAAAGAAAAAAUUUGGUUACAAUUAGGACUUACAGAAUAUACACGUUUAAUGCUUGUUUAAUGUACAGAUUACAUGGCAAUGCAUUUCAAAUAAACAAGAACAGAUUGCCCUAUUCAAAAAUACUGAGAAAACAAACGAAAACAAGUCAAAAACCAGCCCGCUUUCAAACAUCGGCAACAUUUUAAGUUCAAGUUGAAGUUAUGACCUAAUUGUUGUCCCAUCAAGCACAGCAGCCCCUGAUGAGAGUGCAAGGCAUUCUGGGAGAAUAGCAGGUGUCCCCCCCAUGUCACAGAGCUUCCCAGACAGCUUGUUAAUUUGCACAACGUUUACACACACACACACACACGUCUCUCAUCCAUGUGUGCGUGCAUGCAUGUGUAUGUAUGUGUGUAUAUAUUAGCGAUGGGACUUGACCCUAGCGAGCUGCGGCAGUGUUUCGCGUCUUGCUGGGCGUGGGAAAAAGACGGAACCCCUUUUCACAGCUGCCUCAGCCGAG
Gasterosteus aculeatus aculeatus (three-spined stickleback) is the source of this 6767-nucleotide long non-coding RNA. The record is from Ensembl. Lineage: Eukaryota; Metazoa; Chordata; Actinopteri; Perciformes; Gasterosteidae.